This 1423-nucleotide ribosomal RNA is filed under the name Microbacterium proteolyticum. RNAcentral describes it as "bacterial SSU rRNA". It matches the Rfam family "Bacterial small subunit ribosomal RNA". The record is from RNAcentral. Lineage: Bacteria; Bacillati; Actinomycetota; Actinomycetes; Micrococcales; Microbacteriaceae.
GAUCAGUUGCCGCUGCUUCACAUGCAGUCGACGGUGAAGCCAAGCUUGCUUGGUGGAUCAGUGGCGAACGGGUGAGUAACACGUGAGCAACCUGCCCUGGACUCUGGGAUAAGCGCUGGAAACGGCGUCUAAUACUGGAUAUGAGCUCUCAUCGCAUGGUGGGGGUUGGAAAGAUUUUUUGGUCUGGGAUGGGCUCGCGGCCUAUCAGCUUGUUGGUGAGGUAAUGGCUCACCAAGGCGUCGACGGGUAGCCGGCCUGAGAGGGUGACCGGCCACACUGGGACUGAGACACGGCCCAGACUCCUACGGGAGGCAGCAGUGGGGAAUAUUGCACAAUGGGCGGAAGCCUGAUGCAGCAACGCCGCGUGAGGGAUGACGGCCUUCGGGUUGUAAACCUCUUUUAGCAGGGAAGAAGCGAGAGUGACGGUACCUGCAGAAAAAGCGCCGGCUAACUACGUGCCAGCAGCCGCGGUAAUACGUAGGGCGCAAGCGUUAUCCGGAAUUAUUGGGCGUAAAGAGCUCGUAGGCGGUUUGUCGCGUCUGCUGUGAAAUCCCGAGGCUCAACCUCGGGCCUGCAGUGGGUACGGGCAGACUAGAGUGCGGUAGGGGAGAUUGGAAUUCCUGGUGUAGCGGUGGAAUGCGCAGAUAUCAGGAGGAACACCGAUGGCGAAGGCAGAUCUCUGGGCCGUAACUGACGCUGAGGAGCGAAAGGGUGGGGAGCAAACAGGCUUAGAUACCCUGGUAGUCCACCCCGUAAACGUUGGGAACUAGUUGUGGGGACCAUUCCACGGUUUCCGUGACGCAGCUAACGCAUUAAGUUCCCCGCCUGGGGAGUACGGCCGCAAGGCUAAAACUCAAAGGAAUUGACGGGGACCCGCACAAGCGGCGGAGCAUGCGGAUUAAUUCGAUGCAACGCGAAGAACCUUACCAAGGCUUGACAUACACCAGAACACCGUAGAAAUACGGGACUCUUUGGACACUGGUGAACAGGUGGUGCAUGGUUGUCGUCAGCUCGUGUCGUGAGAUGUUGGGUUAAGUCCCGCAACGAGCGCAACCCUCGUUCUAUGUUGCCAGCACGUAAUGGUGGGAACUCAUGGGAUACUGCCGGGGUCAACUCGGAGGAAGGUGGGGAUGACGUCAAAUCAUCAUGCCCCUUAUGUCUUGGGCUUCACGCAUGCUACAAUGGCCGGUACAAAGGGCUGCAAUACCGUGAGGUGGAGCGAAUCCCAAAAAGCCGGUCCCAGUUCGGAUUGAGGUCUGCAACUCGACCUCAUGAAGUCGGAGUCGCUAGUAAUCGCAGAUCAGCAACGCUGCGGUGAAUACGUUCCCGGGUCUUGUACACACCGCCCGUCAAGUCAUGAAAGUCGGUAACACCUGAAGCCGGUGGCCUAACCCUUGUGGAGGAGCCGUCGAAGUGAUCGUCU